Molecule: non-coding RNA, 47 nt
Organism: Echinostoma caproni
Lineage: Eukaryota; Metazoa; Platyhelminthes; Trematoda; Plagiorchiida; Echinostomatidae
Source: Rfam
ACAACGGCCCUUUUUAGGGCCACUACAGUAUGAUUUUCUCGUUCUUU